GGAAAGUUGCCGGAGUGGUCGAUCGGGGCGGUCUCGAAAACCGUUGUGCGUUUUACGUACCGGGGGUUCGAAUCCCUCACUUUCCG
RNAcentral lists this transfer RNA (86 nucleotides) under Bacteroides sp. RNAcentral's name for it is "tRNA-Ser". It matches the Rfam family "tRNA". Rfam says of the family: Transfer RNA (tRNA) molecules are approximately 80 nucleotides in length. The record is from RNAcentral. RNAcentral also lists the same sequence under 2 other names. Lineage: Bacteria; Pseudomonadati; Bacteroidota; Bacteroidia; Bacteroidales; Bacteroidaceae.